Molecule: long non-coding RNA, 6844 nt
Filed under: Marmota monax (woodchuck)
Lineage: Eukaryota; Metazoa; Chordata; Mammalia; Rodentia; Sciuridae
Source: RNAcentral
UUAAGAAAGCAUAUAAAUGUAGUAGAAGAAAAGGGAAAGAUGUUAUAUGUUUAUACUUCUCCCCCUAAAUAUGACAGACAACAAAAAGAGGUAUGAAUUCCCCACCACCUUAAAGUAGAUGCUUAGAUAUAUUUACAUAUAAUAUCAAUGAACACCCUUAUAAAUUUAUGAAGUAAUAAGUGAAAACAAAAGAAAUCCACUGACAUUGUCCCCAAUUUUUAUAAAUUGCCAGUGUGUUUCUUAUUAUCUGCACCAAGCUUCCUGACUAAAAAGUGAUGAAAAGUGAUAUUGUCAUGAAAAAAUUUCACUAUGUAAAUUCUUUACUGGUUUAUGCUCCAGAAUCUGAUUCCCUUGUUUCUCUCCUGCUCCCUGUGCUCUGGGUGAUUAUCUCUAGAGAUGUUUAAGAGAAGCUGCAUAGGGUAGCACAUUAGCCUAUAAUAUCUUACUGCUAAUAUACACUUUUCCUCAUGAAAUACAAGAAGACAUGGUAGUGAGUGCUUUCUUUUUUGAGGCAAAUCAACAUCGAUAUUCAUUAAAUUGUUUUGAAAUAUUUUGUUUCUGUACUAGUAUCAUAAGACUUUGUGACCUUAACAGUGCUCUAAUUUAAGUCAUGUAUCAAUUUUAGUUGACUUCAAGUCUUAGAAUUUUAAGUACACAAUACAAUUGUCCUUUGUCUUGCAAAUUUUGAUUUGAAAAACAGUUUAUUCUGUAUUUGGUCUCUACACUUAGCAGAAAACUGAAUAACUUCUCUGAAAUUAUGAAAUGUAUUUCAUGUACCAUCCUACCAAAUUUAAUUCCCAUUCUGCAAUGAGGCUUAACAAAAUUAAACUUCAAACACAAUUUAAAUAUCUGUCUUCUAAUUGUAUGAAUUUGAAUACUAACCUUGAGUAGGUUGAGACAAGUUAGUUUUGGAAUAAAUUUUAAAUUUCAAGCCAUAUAUUCAUUUGUAAGUCUUUAAAAGUUGUUGGAAUCAGUCUAUACAAUUUUGAUCUUACGUGAAUCCCUAUACAGCAAGCAAAUUAAUUUUAUAUUUAAAAAAUUGUAUUUUCCUGGCUACUAGUACUUCACUCUAGCAUUUUCUGUCCAGAUGGGAUUUCUUUUUUUAACCAAAAAAAAAAAGAAAAAAGUCUGCACAUCACACUAAUUUAAAGUCAGCUUGAAGCUACUGUAUUCUAAAAUACAUUUAUCUGAAAAUGAAAAAAAUAAGUAUAAAAUAUUGUAUAAGAACUCAACUGGCCACACUUAAAUGUGCUAUUGUGAAUAUAAUUAAAGGCGACCUAGAAUGUCAUUUAGUACAAAAACAGUAAAACCUUAAAAUUAUUUAAAAUACAUGGGCUGGGGUUGUGUCUCAGAGGUAGAGAGCUCACCUGGCAUGCAUGAUGCACUGGGUUUGAUCCUCAGUAUCACAUAAAAAUAAAAUAAAGGUAUUGUGUUCACCUACAACUAAAAAAUAAAAUUUAAAAACUUAUUUAAAAUACAGAGUAUAUCUUUUUAUUUUAUUAUCUUCUUCACAUAAAGUUUGUAUAGAUAAAACAAGGCCCAUAUAAAUUUUUUAAAAUAAUAUAUAUAGAGUCUCAUAUUUUUAGAUUAAAUAAAUAUUAAAUAUUAAUAGUAGGAAACAUGGAAAAUGCAAAUUGCCAAAUUGAAUCAUGAACAAAAUUUUACUGAGUUUCAAAAGGUUGUUAAGGUUUUUUCACUCUCUUUCAUUUCCAUUCAUGCCUGCACUCCAUGGUUCUAGUACAUAACACAACAGAAAGAUAUUUUUCUUUCUUUUUUCGCUAAUGUGGGAAACUUUUGAGAUUUCAAAAGAUCAGUUCUCAAGAAAUUUCUGAUUCAGAGUUUCCAAUUCUCAUGGUUAAAAGUCCACACUUCUUGAGUGUUUUCCUAAUCAAAAUUUAGGUCAUUUCAGUCUCUUCUGUCAUUUGACCAUUAAAUAGAUCUUUUUAAAAUACUUAGUUUUUUUUGUUUUUUUUUUUUAUUGGAAUAGAAAACUUUAUAUCCUUUGCAAAUAAUUUAAGUGAGUCAAAAUAUUUUUAAAAUCUAUUUUUACAAAGGUAAUAGAGAGGUAUGUCAGACUCACUAGAGCACAGAAAGAAAAAUCAAAUAAUUUAAUCCUAUCAUUGAUGUUAUAUUCUUGGGAGCAGUUGGCCAAAAAUGUAACUUUUUAAUUUCUAAUAGUAGACUAUAAUAUUUUAUUAUCUACCAUAUAGUAGGAAACAUGCAGAAAUUAAUUUUAUGUUCUGAGUUCUUGAAGCAUUUAUUCAUUAAAUAACCCCUCAUUUGUCUUUUUGCGUAUGCAAAAUUUUAUAAAUUAAAUUCAUUUUCAUUAAAUUUAUUUGUAAAAUUACAAAAUUUAUUUAUAAUCAUUAAAUUGUGAAUAAAGAUACUAGAUAAUGUUACCUAUUAUCUAUAUAAACAAUUCUACUUUCACAUUUUAUAAGACAUGAAAGAGAAUCAUUAUCAUAGAAACUAUCAUAUGCAAAGUUGCUGUUCCAGUUAAGAUUAGCCAAUCUGGGGAUUAACUAAUCAAACUGCAUUCCAGCAAAUUCUAAUUUCUAUAUAUCCAUUUUCAUUUUACAUUUAAUACUUCAUGUGUAAAUUCUGUUCAAAUUUUUAAGGUAUAUUUAUAAUUUUGUAACUGGCACAACUGGUUUAUUGUACAUUUGGGUUGUUUCUACCUCUUGGUUAUUUAUAAAUACUGUUGCUAAGAAUAUGUUAUAUAAGUAUCUGAGCUUCUGAUUCAAUGAUUUGGGGUAUAUAAAUCCAUGGAUGAGGUUGUUGAGUCAUAUGGCAGUUCUGUUUUACUUAUUGAAAAACUCUUUUCUACAGUAGCUGCAUCCUUUAUUAUUCUCACUAGCAAUGUAGAAGGGACUCAGUUUCUCCACAUUUUCACCAACAUUUGUUUUGUUCCUAUUUCAUGACUAAUAUAGCAAGAAGGCAUCAAUCAAAAGCAUUAAUAUAAUAAAUAUUUGAAGAAAUUACCAAAAACUUACCUUCUUCAUUUCUUUGUUCAAAUGUUACCUUCUCUGUAAGGUCUUCUUAAUCACCCUACUUAAUACUGCAAUUUCUCUACCCCAUCAUCUAUCUUCUCUAUCCUUCUUAUUUCUCUCUUUAGCAUUUAUAACCAUCUAUAUAUACUAUAUGUCUAUUCAUUUUGUUUCUCAUCCCCAAAAUAUUCGAAUGUUAGCUUCUCAGGUGAGAGGCCUGAUCAGUUUUGUUCACUGACAAAUCUUCCACGGCAGCUCACUUCUUAGCCCAUAUUGUAAUGUACCAGUAUUUGCCUAAAUUAAUAUAAAAAGUGAAAUAAGCAGAUAACUUAAAUUUCUGUUACAGAAAUUGAAAGGCGCCCCUUGGGUCUAGAAAAAAGUUAAAAUGACAUCGUAACUGAUAAUAAACUCGGUAUCUUAUGAGAUGGUACGUGAUAAAAAUACACUGAUUAAAGAGGGUUGGAUGGGUAUAGAUUUAUAACAUAUUUCAUUUGGUUGCCUGUUUACUAUUCCACAUGUUCCCAUGUUCUAUUAUUAGUGUUAUAGUAGCUACUGAAUGUAUAUUUCUUUUAAAACUUGAUUAAUCCUUCACUUUUAUUUUGAUAUAGUUUGGCAUUUUUUUUUUAUUUAUUUGUAACAUCUUUUAUAUGUGAAGAAUGUUUUUCCUUUGGCCUUAUGACAAGUGUUUUUUAGUCUAGAUUUUUCUUUUCAUAGAAUUUGGCAUUUUGUAUGUGGUCAAAUUGAUUUCUUUCUCUAUAACUUCUGCUGUUUGCAGCAUGCUGUGCCUAUCCUAGGUUGCUAUAAAUAUUAAUUCCUUCUAAAAAUUUUACAAUAAAAUUUUAAAAGGGCUAUAUGGAUUUAUGAAUGAGUUUUAUAUAAAAAUAAAGGUUUACCAAAAUAAAUUCUCUAGUAGACAUCAAAGCAGAUAACCCUAUAUUUCCAUUGUUCAACCUUAAUUGAAAUAUCUCAAAUGCAACAACACAUCUGAUUAUUGCAGACUUCUUUGUCCUACAGAAAUUUUUUCAGUUUCCUAAAUUAUUAUUAUUAUUUAAAUCAACUGCCUUGGUACAACCCUGGAACUCAAGUUGUGAUGUUGCACUUUUAACAUCCCUGUGAGCAUAGUGAAAUUAAGCAGCAAAGGAGAAACAUGAAAGGUCUGAGGUAUUCAACAUAGUCCACUAAAAAGCAAAGUUCCCUUUGGAUUGGGCAAAGGGGUGGGGUGGGGGGCCAUAGGGAAGGGACAUGUGGGUAGCAAAGGUGGUUGAAUGAGAACAUCAUUACACUAGGUACAUGUAUAAUUUCACAACUAAGGCAACUCUACACUAUGUACAAGCAGAGAAAUGAAAAGUUGUGCUCCAUUUGUGUAAAUGAAAUAAAAUGCAUUCUGCUGUCAUGUAGAACUAAUUAGAAAAAAAAAUUAAAGUUAUUAUUAAAAAAAUGAAAAAAGAAAAAAAGCAAAAUUCCAAUAACACCCCUGUGUUUUUCCUAUUGUAAGCAGCAUUAGGAAAUUCUGCCACAACUAAAAUUGAAGGUACUUGAUUUAAUAAACUAUUCCCCAAAACUUAUGAAACAAAGAAAUUAGUUUUCUUAAACACUAAAUAAAACCCAAGCAAAUAUGAAAUUUCAGAUAGAUAGGUGAAAUGCAUAUAUAGAGAGUGAGGUUACAAAAUAUCACUUGAAAAGGUCAGAAGAGACCUAAAGUCAGCCAAAAGCUACUGCUCACUAGAAGACUGUAUUUGAUGAAAUAUCCAAAAUUCAUUAAUUCCCACCACUUAAUAUGUUUUGAACAAAAGAAAGCAAAUAAACCCAAUGGAAGUAAUAAAAUUGCCUUGCUAUAAUGAUCACUAUUUUUUUUAAAAAAAUGGCAAAUUUAUAGUUAAAUGGGUUUUGCUUAAUGGAAAAAUAUCCAUUGUGGAUUUCCUUCUAUCAGAAAAGGACCUUGAGUCUCUGACUAAAUUUAAAACUCUAUUGUAUAAUCUUCUGCCUUUAAGAAACUUAUAAACAAUUUGAAAAGAUUAAAUAUUUGCAAAUAAACAAAAAUCUAACCAAAUUCCCAAGCCCAUAGCAGGUAUGCUAAGAAGUUAAGAAACUCAUUUUAAGUGACCCAUCAAGUUAAGGAUCACUUUAACUCUCCACUGCUUUCACAGAGAAGAUUGCAGGGCCUCAGGCAUGUUAAGCCAGAGCUCUUCCACCCAGCCCUAAAUCUAACUUUAGAAGAAAGGAGUUUAAGUAGGGUGGAAAACAUGUUCUCAGUUGAAUAAAAGGAUGAGAACCUCAGGCAAGGUGGUAUGCCACUAUAAUCCUAGCUAUCAGAGACUGAAGCAGGAGGAUCUCAAAUUCAAGGUCAGCCUGGACAACUUAGGAGACCCUCUCUGAAAGCAAAAAAUAAAAAGGAAUAGGGAUGUAGCUCAGUAGUAGAAUGCUUGUCUAGAAUGCAGGACCCCCGAUUCAAUUACCACCACCACAACAAAAAGGUAAGAACCAAAUUUUAGACAAAAUAAAUGACAAGGCAUAAUUCAGGAAACCAUACAAGCUAUGAAGAGCAAUGAUCAUUUAUUGAGCACACAUGUGUCAGGCAGUGUUUUUUUUUGCCUACAGUAUAUAAUGUGAUCUUCAAAACAAUUAAGUUUUAUUUUAUUAAUCUUACUUCAUGGAGUUUAAGUAAUCUGCUCAAGGUUAAACUACUAGGAAGUAGCAGAGCUGAAAUUCAAAUUCAGGUGUUGUUCAUUUCAGAGUUUAGCCUCUUAACUAAUACACAAUACCAUAAACCAUGCUUGUCAGGAAAGGGAAGUUAAGGAGUAGAAUGAUAAAAGUUUGAAAAUGGACAUGAGACCAUAACCUUCCAAACAGCAAAGUCAAGUCAUUUUAUGGCACAUCAUGGCACUGAAUAUUUCUUAAACAAUUCUGAAAAAUAGGCCAUGAAGAAUUCUGAGAGUCUGAUCCAGUGAAACAAGACUCUUGACCUAUUUGUAAAAAUCUAAAGAACCUCUUUUAUGAAGGAUUCUAUUAAGCCAUAUUUUUUUAAAGUUUAAGCAAAAAUUACUCAAAUUUGUAAAUUCAUAUAGUAAGAACACAUUCCCUAUUUGAGAUUUUUCCUCUUUAUGUCCAAAAUAAAUAACAAUUUAGUAUUUAUUCUAACAAUUUAAUCUCUAAAUCCAAACCUCAAUUUAAGACUUUAAAGUAUUUUAACACUUUCUGGUCAUGUGAAUUAUGUUUUCAAUACAUGCAUUUUCUGAUCUAUUUUAUGGGCCAGCACACUUAUCAGCAAAUCAGAAAUACAGUUAAAUCAAAAAGUAAGUUACUUAGAUCCCUUCCCCCUUAAAAAAAAUAAAAAAAAAAGUUUUUCUUCACAAACCAAAAGCAAAAGCAAUGUAAUAGAGUAUAUACUGUCUACUAAUGUAUAUCAAAUAACAUUACAAUUUAAUAAAACUAUAAAUAAGAAAGUUUUAGGCAAAAAUGCCUAAUGUUAUUCCUCUAGCUUUAUUGUUCUCCAAGGUCGUUUGGGCUAUUCAGAGCCCUGUGAUAUUCCAAAAGAAUUUUAAGAUUUGUUUUUCUGUUUCUACCCAAAACAACAAUAAUAACAACAACAGAACAUGACAUUGGGAUUUUCAUAGUAAUUGCAUUAAAUCUGUGAAUUGCUUUGGAUAUAUUUGAUAACAAUGUUGUCCUCCAAUUCUUCAACAGUAAUAUUUCCUUUUAAUAUGUUUCCUUUAAUUUCUUUUAGCACUGUUUUAUAAUUUUCAUUAUGUAAGUCUUUAACUUCAUUGAUUACUUCCUAAAAAUGUUUUAUUAUUUAUGAUGCUAUUGUAAAUGGAAUUAUUUUCUUAAUUUUGUUUUCUGAUUGUUCAUUGUUAUUU